GCGGCUGUGGUCCAGGGGUUAGGACAUGAGCUUCCCAAGCUUGUAGCCCGGGUUCGAUUCCCGGCAGCCGCA
RNAcentral lists this transfer RNA (72 nucleotides) under Methanothrix sp. RNAcentral's name for it is "tRNA-Gly". It matches the Rfam family "tRNA". From Rfam's summary of the family: Transfer RNA (tRNA) molecules are approximately 80 nucleotides in length. Their secondary structure includes four short double-helical elements and three loops (D, anti-codon, and T loops). Lineage: Archaea; Methanobacteriati; Methanobacteriota; Methanomicrobia; Methanotrichales; Methanotrichaceae. RNAcentral also lists the same sequence under 8 other names. The record is from RNAcentral.